RNAcentral lists this ribosomal RNA (468 nucleotides) under uncultured bacterium. Its description in RNAcentral is "partial 16S ribosomal RNA". It matches the Rfam family "Bacterial small subunit ribosomal RNA", at positions 28 to 507 of the family's 1533-position model. The record is from RNAcentral.
GACGAACGCUGGCGGCGUGCUUAACACAUGCAAGUCGAACGGAAAGGCCCUGCUUUUGUGGGGUGCUCGAGUGUCGCACGGGUGAGUCACACGUGAGUAACCUGCCCUUGACUUUGGGCUAACGUUAAGAACCUGUGGCUAGUGCCGCAUAGGAGCUCCUGCUCCAUGGGGGGGGUUGGAGAGUGUCGGGGGUUGGGGAUGGACUCGCGGCUUCUCAGCUUGUUGGUGGGGUAGUGGCAUACCAAGGAUUUGACGGGUAGCCGGCCUGAGAGGGGGACCGGCCGCAAUGGGAGUGAGAUGAGGCCCAGAAGCCUACGGGAGGCAGCAGUGGGGAAGAUUGCUCCACGAGCGGAAGCCUGAUGCAGCAACGACGCGUGCGGGAGGACGGCGUUCGGGGUGUAAACCGCUUUCGCCUGUGACGAAGAGGGAGUGACGGUAAUUGGUAAAGAAGCACCGGCUAACUACGUG